CACUAGAAGAAAUGAUUUUUAGCAAUACCUGCCCAGUGCGACAUAUUACUGUAAACGGCCGCCCUAGCGUGAGGGUGCUAAGGUAGCGAAAUUCCUUGCCUUUUAAUUGUAGGCCUGCAUGAAUGGUUUAACGAGGGUUAAGCUGUCUCUAAGUUUAUAAGUUGAAAUUGUAUUAAAGGUGAAGAUACCUUUAUUUUGAAGUUAGACAAAAAGACCCCGUGCAACUUUGAAAAUUAGCUUUAUUAAAAGGUGAGAGAUUUUUAGGUGGGGCGCCUAGAGAGCUAGUUCUAACCUCUUUUAUUGAGUUAUUAAAACUUUCAAGUCUUGACCCGGUUACACCCGAUCAUAGGAGAAGUUACGCCGGGGAUAACAGGCUAAUCCUUUAGUAGAGCUCGUAUUGGCUAAAGGGAUUGGCACCUCGAUGUUGAAUCAGGGAUGAUACCUUUGAGGCGUAGAGGCUUCGAGAGUGGGUCUGUUCGACCUUUAAUACCCU
Molecule: ribosomal RNA, 493 nt
Filed under: Crassostrea sp. 2 JL-2011
Lineage: Eukaryota; Metazoa; Mollusca; Bivalvia; Ostreida; Ostreidae
Description: partial 16S ribosomal RNA
Rfam family: Bacterial large subunit ribosomal RNA
Source: RNAcentral